GACGAACGCUGGCGGCGCGCUUAACACAUGCAAGUCGAGCGAUGAAAUCUUAACAGAACCCUUCGGGGUGAAGAUAAGACGGAUUAGCGGCGGACGGGUGAGUAACACGUGAGUAACCUGCCUUUUACACAGGGAUAGCCUCGGGAAACCGGGAUUAAAACCUGAUGAAACUAUCAAAUCACAUGAUUAAGAAAGCUAAAACUCCGGUGGUAAAAGAUGGACUCGCGUCCCAUUAGCUAGUUGGUGAAGGUAACGGCCCACCAAGGCAACGAUGGGUAGCCGGCCUGAGAGGGUGAACGGCCACAUUGGAACUGAGAAACGGUCCAAACUCCUACGGGAGGCAGCAGUGGGGAAUAUUGCACAAUGGGGGAAACCCUGAUGCAGCGACGCCGCGUGAGCGAAGAAGGCCUUCGGGUCGUAAAGCUCUUUUAUAUGGGAAGAUAAUGACGUACCAUAAGAAAAGCCCCGCA
Molecule: ribosomal RNA, 470 nt
Filed under: Peptoniphilus sp. oral taxon 836
Lineage: Bacteria; Bacillati; Bacillota; Tissierellia; Tissierellales; Peptoniphilaceae
Description: bacterial SSU rRNA
Rfam family: Bacterial small subunit ribosomal RNA
Source: RNAcentral